UUUCUUUUUCAAAAAACUUAAGGGAAAAUGCAAGGUCUGCCAUUUGAUUUUUCAUACAGAAGGUGUGUGCCCUACGGCUAGAACUGUGGCGAGGGUAGCACACAUGAUGGAGAAAAGAUUGGAGAUAGCCAGCCUGUUUUUAGGGUUUGCAAACAGCAUGUUUCAAAAUGGGGCUUUCAAAUUUCAUGGAAUUCAAACCCUUGUGCUCCCUCUUAUGUGUCGCUCCUUGCUUGGCCCGAAAGAACAGGCACAAUUGUGCAAGCAUCUAGUGCUGCAUGACCAUGAUUUAUGCUCAAACUCUAGCACAGACGAUGCACUUGCAUUGGUACCCGUCAACGAAGCUGGUAUGUCAAAAAGGGGUCGGCCAACCUCCCCCUUCUCCUAUCCAAAAAAAAAACUGAAAGUUCUGCUACCAGAGCUUUUUAACUAAUCACUGAGUACAGAAAAAGCUUCACAUGCCAAAAUUCAACGCUAAGUUCACAGCCAACUCUUUUGGCAUGGUUGAAGCACCAGGAAGCAUCCUUGUGCCAAAGGAAAAUUUUGACAAGGGGACAGAACCAAAGAAAAAAAAAAGGCAGGCCUCUUAGCUCCAAGAACAAAAAUCCCCCCAAGUCGAAGAACAUUAUUGAUGUAAAGGAGCUAUGCUUGGCAUACUUGAUACAACCUUCGAGCCCUACCUUGAAGCGCAAGGAGAAAAUUUAAGUUUGUUUUAUUUUUGGACUUUGCCUAUUUUACUAUGUUUAUGUUUUACCUAGUUCAUAAAGUGAGUACUGAAUGUUGUACAAGUGGUACUAUUAGGUCGUGUUUGUUAUGAGGGACUGGACGGGACUGGGUACCAUAACACGAGGUAGCCCGUGUUUGGCAACAACCUGGACUGUGUUAAAUGAGACUCUGCAGUCCCCAAAACACAGCCCACACCGUCUACGAGAGCGACGCCAAAACUCAUGGGAUUGUGGAAGCCCGUGUUGUAGACGUUGAAAUCCAUUCUCGCUGGAUCUGCUCUUCGCCUCAACCUCAUCAUUCUCUCUCUCUCAUGCCAUUCUUUUGCUUCAGCCUCCUUCAACACCUCUUCUUCGGGUUCAAUUUCAUCUUCUCUCUCUUUGCAUUGAUUAUUUUUCACUCUCCCCUUCAAUCCUCUACCUUCUUCUUUCUCUAUCUCCUUUAUUAUAGAUCAUUUGUUUAUGGGUUGUAAUUAUUUUAAGGAUUUGGUGUCUGGGUAGCUUGAUCUGCUGAGAAUUUUGAUCAAUUUCGUGUCUGGGUAGCUUGAUCUGUUGGAGCACCAAACAUGGAUCAAGACUGUUUAGAAAUAAGCCAAGUUAUAAGAGUCCGGGACUGCUAUAGAAAUUAAGGUGAAGGGUGAUAGUCCUGUUAAACAAACGUGACCUUAAUGUUGUAUAAGUGGUACUAUUUUCUAUACCACUUUUCUUAUCUGUCUAUAUAUGUUAGGACAGAGGAAAGGUAUGUAACUUUCCGCCUUGGCUUGAGUUAACGAGAAAAUCAUUGUGAUUUUGAUUCAAAAACACAAAGGUUAAGGUGAUGUAAGCAAAAAAGUACUCCCUCUAUAUAUGGAUUCCUUUAUCCCCUCUCUAAUUUUAGCGCUCUCCAUUAUUCAUAUUUUCAUUAUCUAUUCCUAUACUGAUUACUGAAUGUAAAAGUAUAUAUAGAAUGUCAAAAAUUAAUAUAAUUGUGAUGUAAUGAAUUACUUUAUUUUUAGACAAGAAUGCUACUAAUGACUUAAAACAUUUAAAAGUUUAUUUUUUCAUCAACCAAUCAUAUUUAUUAUUAUUAAUUUUAGCUAAAUUUUAAGAAACAUUAUUAGAG
This is a long non-coding RNA of Rosa rugosa (rugosa rose), 1821 nucleotides long. RefSeq lists it as uncharacterized. The record is from RefSeq and is a predicted model, not a curated record. The transcript has 2 exons. Lineage: Eukaryota; Viridiplantae; Streptophyta; Magnoliopsida; Rosales; Rosaceae.